GGCAGCUGAAAUACGUGAUCCACAGAAGGGGGUCCGAGUUUGGAUUGGAACUUUUAAUACUGCAGAAGAAGCUGCCAGAGCUUAUGAUGCUGAAGCUCGGAGGAUCAGAGGCAAUAAAGCUAAAGUAAACUUUCCAGAUGAAGCUUCAGUGCCUGCCUCGAGGCAAGCUGGUAAGGUGAAUCCUCGGAAGGUUCUUUCUGAUGAGAGCUCUAACCCAGUUCCACCCAACACCAUGCUUAUGAACAACUUGAAUAGUGGAUAUUGUGACAAUGUGGGCCUGCUCGAAGAGAAAACAAAGACUCUGAAUGGCUACGAAGCUUUGUGUGUGACUCCUGUAGAUACAGGACCUAACCCAUAUCCCCAUCCAGCUGCUGCUGGUGUUUACUUCAAUUCUGACCAAGGAAGUAACUCUUUUGGCCCCUCAGACUUUUGGGGAGAAACAUGUUCAAGGACUCCAGACAUAUCAUCUGUUCUGUCAGCUGCU
Molecule: unclassified non-coding RNA, 484 nt
Filed under: Hevea brasiliensis (rubber tree)
Lineage: Eukaryota; Viridiplantae; Streptophyta; Magnoliopsida; Malpighiales; Euphorbiaceae
Source: RNAcentral